This 1544-nucleotide ribosomal RNA is filed under the name Shigella boydii CDC 3083-94. RNAcentral describes it as "16S ribosomal RNA". It matches the Rfam family "Bacterial small subunit ribosomal RNA". The record is from RNAcentral. Lineage: Bacteria; Pseudomonadati; Pseudomonadota; Gammaproteobacteria; Enterobacterales; Enterobacteriaceae.
UUAAAUUGAAGAGUUUGAUCAUGGCUCAGAUUGAACGCUGGCGGCAGGCCUAACACAUGCAAGUCGAACGGUAACAGGAAGCAGCUUGCUGCUUCGCUGACGAGUGGCGGACGGGUGAGUAAUGUCUGGGAAACUGCCUGAUGGAGGGGGAUAACUACUGGAAACGGUAGCUAAUACCGCAUAAUGUCGCAAGACCAAAGAGGGGGACCUUCGGGCCUCUUACCAUCGGAUGUGCCCAGAUGGGAUUAGCUUGUUGGUGGGGUAACGGCUCACCAAGGCGACGAUCCCUAGCUGGUCUGAGAGGAUGACCAGCCACACUGGAACUGAGACACGGUCCAGACUCCUACGGGAGGCAGCAGUGGGGAAUAUUGCACAAUGGGCGCAAGCCUGAUGCAGCCAUGCCGCGUGUAUGAAGAAGGCCUUCGGGUUGUAAAGUACUUUCAGCGGGGAGGAAGGGAGUAAAGUUAAUACCUUUGCUCAUUGACGUUAUCCGCAGAAGAAGCACCGGCUAACUCCGUGCCAGCAGCCGCGGUAAUACGGAGGGUGCAAGCGUUAAUCGGAAUUACUGGGCGUAAAGCGCACGCAGGCGGUUUGUUAAGUCAGAUGUGAAAUCCCCGGGCUCAACCUGGGAACUGCAUCUGAUACUGGCAAGCUUGAGUCUCGUAGAGGGGGGUAGAAUUCCAGGUGUAGCGGUGAAAUGCGUAGAGAUCUGGAGGAAUACCGGUGGCGAAGGCGGCCCCCUGGACGAAGACUGACGCUCAGGUGCGAAAGCGUGGGGAGCAAACAGGAUUAGAUACCCUGGUAGUCCACGCCGUAAACGAUGUCGACUUGGAGGUUGUGCCCUUGAGGCAUGGCUUCCGGAGCUAACGCGUUAAGUCGACCGCCUGGGGAGUACGGCCGCAAGGUUAAAACUCAAAUGAAUUGACGGGGGCCCGCACAAGCGGUGGAGCAUGUGGUUUAAUUCGAUGCAACGCGAAGAACCUUACCUGGUCUUGACAUCCACGGAAGUUUUCAGAGAUGAGAAUGUGCCUUCGGGAACCGUGAGACAGGUGCUGCAUGGCUGUCGUCAGCUCGUGUUGUGAAAUGUUGGGUUAAGUCCCGCAACGAGCGCAACCCUUAUCCUUUGUUGCCAGCGGUCCGGCCGGGAACUCAAAGGAGACUGCCAGUGAUAAACUGGAGGAAGGUGGGGAUGACGUCAAGUCAUCAUGGCCCUUACGACCAGGGCUACACACGUGCUACAAUGGCGCAUACAAAGAGAAGCGACCUCGCGAGAGCAAGCGGACCUCAUAAAGUGCGUCGUAGUCCGGAUUGGAGUCUGCAACUCGACUCCAUGAAGUCGGAAUCGCUAGUAAUCGUGGAUCAGAAUGCCACGGUGAAUACGUUCCCGGGCCUUGUACACACCGCCCGUCACACCAUGGGAGUGGGUUGCAAAAGAAGUAGGUAGCUUAACCUUCGGGAGGGCGCUUACCACUUUGUGAUUCAUGACUGGGGUGAAGUCGUAACAAGGUAACCGUAGGGGAACCUGCGGUUGGAUCACCUCCUUA